Molecule: long non-coding RNA, 285 nt
Filed under: Mytilus galloprovincialis (Mediterranean mussel)
Lineage: Eukaryota; Metazoa; Mollusca; Bivalvia; Mytilida; Mytilidae
Source: RNAcentral
GUUUUAAAUCACCUGCACGAUCUGUUCUUGAAAUGUCCUAAAUUUUCACCUAUUUCGGUAUAUAUUUCACAGCUGGAUGGCUUUAGGCGCGAUAAAACCCCGUUCGCAUCUCUUACAUUGUCUUACUAGUAUUAUUUAUUUCUAAAAAUAUACAUUUUAACUCAUUUUCUUCAUUUUCUUCAAAAAUAAAAAAUAAAUCGUCUGUUUAUUUAUCAUUCUACAUUAGAAAUUUAUGGCAUAUACAGUCAAAAUGAUAUUUUAUGAUCCGCACUUUACAUACACUGU